GACGAACGCUGGCGGCGUGCUUAACACAUGCAAGUCGAACGGAAAGGCCCUGCUUUUGUGGGGUGCUCGAGUGGCGAACGGGUGAGUAACACGUGAGUAACCUGCCCUUGACUUUGGGAUAACUUCAGGAAACUGGGGCUAAUACCGGAUAGGAGCUCCUGCUGCAUGGUGGGGGUUGGAAAGUUUCGGCGGUUGGGGAUGGACUCGCGGCUUAUCAGCUUGUUGGUGGGGUAGUGGCUUACCAAGGCUUUGACGGGUAGCCGGCCUGAGAGGGUGACCGGACACAUUGGGACUGAGAUACGGCCCAGACUCCUACGGGAGGCAGCAGUGGGGAAUAUUGCACAAUGGGCGGAAGCCUGAUGCAGCAACGCCGCGUGCGGGAUGACGGCCUUCGGGUUGUAAACCGCUUUCGCCUGAGACGAAGCGUGAGUGACGGUAAUGGGUAAAGAAGCACCGGCUAACUACGUG
Molecule: ribosomal RNA, 468 nt
Filed under: uncultured bacterium
Lineage: Bacteria
Description: partial 16S ribosomal RNA
Rfam family: Bacterial small subunit ribosomal RNA
Source: RNAcentral